Molecule: ribosomal RNA, 253 nt
Filed under: uncultured bacterium
Lineage: Bacteria
Description: partial 16S ribosomal RNA
Rfam family: Bacterial small subunit ribosomal RNA
Source: RNAcentral
UACGUAGGGGGCUAGCGUUGUCCGGAAUCAUUGGGCGUAAAGAGCGUGUAGGCGGUCCGGUAAGUCCGCUGUGAAAGUCGGGGGCUCAACCCUCGAAUGCCGGUGGAUACUGUCGGGCUAGAGUGCGGAAGAGGCGAGUGGAAUUCCUGGUGUAGCGGUGAAAUGCGCAGAUAUCAGGAGGAACACCUAUUGCGAAGGCAGCUCGCUGGGACGUAACUGACGCUGAGACGCGAAAGCUAGGGGAGCGAACAGG